RNAcentral lists this long non-coding RNA (704 nucleotides) under Homo sapiens (human). Its description in RNAcentral is "non-protein coding ELOA-AS1:19". The record is from RNAcentral. Lineage: Eukaryota; Metazoa; Chordata; Mammalia; Primates; Hominidae.
AGAGUUCGUAUAUGACUCCAGUCCUGGCGCUGGAUGCUGCUGCUGUUCCAGCUUCCUAGGUGUGGAAACUGAAGGACCAAGAGAUUAAACAGGAAUCUCUGAGGACAAAUGGGAAUUCUCACUGAUUUCUAGGACUACCCUGGGGCAGGCACCCUGCACAGCAAUACACACUGAACAAUGUCGAGUUUCUGCUGAAUAGACUUCCUACGUUGCUCUGGAAUUCGAAGUUGGCCUAACUGAGGUCUCCAGUUACAGAAAACACUGGCUCUGUAUCCUGGGCUUUGAGAAAACUUAUCAGGCUGUCACACUUACCAUCCCUUCAGUCUGCUUGUCAGGUUCCUUAAGGACGCAUAUCUCAAAUGUAUGGCAUCUACCUCUACCUGGGUCACAACCAAGUGGGUUUCUACUAGAUCGGUGUUCCUUGACAGCCAACAAGGGAGCUGACACUGCCCUCCUAAGUUCUGAUCUUGCUCCUGUUCAACUGGAACUUGAUGGAUCCCAUGUGGUUUCCCCCAUCCUGACGCUGUGGCUCAGACACUCUCCCUAAGCUGGUCCUUCCCUCCAAAUCCUGCCUUAAACACACUCAGAAGGUAGAAAACACUUCAGCAGCAAAGUCCUCUUCCCAAGCCAACAGUUGUGUUCUUCCAAUCACAUGAUCUUACCUUUUCAAUAAAAGGCAAAACAAACCAAUUUCCAACAUAGCA